AACAGAUCGCUGCUGCCCGUGGUCACGUGUGAACAGGCCGCCGUUGCAUCCUUCCGAUCAAGAUUUCGGCCGCCUCGGUGAUCCCCCGCCGCCGGAAUCGGCAUCAAUUUGGACCGCCAGAGCCUCCGGCGGCCAUGGACAGCAAGACAGGAAGCUACGAGCUUUGCACAAAGGACGUUGUUCGAGAGCUAAGAAGAUGAAGAAUUGCAAGAACAAGAGCUGAAAACUCUGACCAGUUAUUAUCUGAAUUUAAGGCAAGUAUAUUCCUUGAUCAUACUUUGUUCUAAUAACUUUUAUUUAUGCUUGCAUGCAUUAAAUUGAUGGGUACCAAUUAUCCUUAUUGAUUAUCCAUGUCCUUGAAUAGCCGGGUUUCUUUUAUAAAAUCUUUUGGGUAUUUUGCUUAGUUGCUGAAAAAUGGUUAUGGGAGGUUUACAACAAUGAUACUUGAGACAUGAUGCUUUACUCUAUACACUUUUGGAACGAUAUUGUGAAUUUGUUAACUUGAUUAAAAUCAACCAUGGAGCGACCACCCGGAAAAACAGCGCAACCACAAGGACUACAUGGCUCUGGUCUUGGCUGAUUAAUUAGAUUUCUCUAGCUUGUUAGUAGCUUACCGAAAGGCGCAAAAGGGGGGACUAGGUUCAAGAGAGGUACUCGCCCUGCCAAAGGGGUUGGUACGCCUACGGGGUACACUCGUUUUGGGGGAGGGUGCACUCGCCUAGCGGCUAAAACCUUAGCGGGCUACUACUGGUUAGGGAAUCUUUGUAAAGGCCUCGUAGCGACCCUAUGCAAUCACACCU
Molecule: long non-coding RNA, 800 nt
Organism: Panicum virgatum (switchgrass)
Lineage: Eukaryota; Viridiplantae; Streptophyta; Magnoliopsida; Poales; Poaceae
Exons: 3
Source: RefSeq, a predicted model, not a curated record